Molecule: long non-coding RNA, 660 nt
Filed under: Mus caroli (Ryukyu mouse)
Lineage: Eukaryota; Metazoa; Chordata; Mammalia; Rodentia; Muridae
Description: lncRNA (MGP_CAROLIEiJ_G0006633.1)
Source: RNAcentral
GCAGCUCACCCAGCCCGGCCUCAUGGUUGAGGAUUUCUGCAUCGGCCAUGGGCUGGAGCUGAUAGUGCUUUCACAGGGGGCAGGCUGGGUGUUCCAUCUUUGCAGGACAUGCUUUGUGUGGCCCAGCCGUGAGACACUGCCUCCCUGGGGGAAGGCGCUUCUGCUUUAGGGAAAACAGACUCUUAGAUCUGCUUUAGAGAAAAUAGACCAUCGAUGGCCAGCAAAUGAUGUUUCCUUUGGACACACUAGUGAACAAUAAAAGAGGAUCCUUGGGCUGCUGAGAUGACUCAGUGGAUACAGCUGCUUGCUGCCAAGUGGGAUGACCUGAAUAUGAUUCCUGGAACCCACAUGUUGCAAGGAAGAGAACCAACUUCCACAAGCUGUCCUUUGACUCCACACGUAUUCUGUGACAUGCACACGCAGACGUGCACACACACACUCAUGGUACGCACACAUGCAGAAGCACUAAAGACUACUGUUUGAACACUGUACUGUAGAAGGCACAGACUGAGAUGUUGGGUCAACUGGGCAUGCCUGUCUUUGUGACUGGCUGCAUUAUCGAUCCUCCGAGCCUGUGUGCCACGCUGGAAAGCUGGAUCUAAGAGUACUCUCUUCCCCAACUCAUAAUAAGGGAGAGCCUUGUCCUGUUGGUCCCUGCAG